GCACUUCUGAGGAAUCCUAUAAUAGGACGAAACGGCCGUCCAGUGC
Molecule: non-coding RNA, 46 nt
Organism: Schistosoma mansoni
Lineage: Eukaryota; Metazoa; Platyhelminthes; Trematoda; Strigeidida; Schistosomatidae
Source: Rfam